Molecule: long non-coding RNA, 408 nt
Filed under: Elaeis guineensis (African oil palm)
Lineage: Eukaryota; Viridiplantae; Streptophyta; Magnoliopsida; Arecales; Arecaceae
Description: long non-coding RNA (EGUI_LNC002185)
Source: RNAcentral
GGCAUUGAAAAGGUCUCUUCCUAAGGGCAUAAAUAGGCAUUGAAAAGGCCUCUCCCCUAGGACAUAAGUGGGGCACAUUAGGGUCGUUGAAAGGGCCUCUCCUCGUUGGGCCAUUGAAAGCACCUCUCCCUAGGGGCACAAAUUUGGGCAUUGAAAAGGUCUCUCCCCUGGGGCAUAAAUGGGGCAUAUAAGGGCCAUUGAAAGGGCCUCUCCCUGUUAGGCCGUUGAAAGGGCCUCUCCCCAGGGAUACAAAUGGGCGUUGAAAAUGCCUCUCUUCUAGGGCAUAAAUGAGGCACACAAGGGCCGUUGAAAGGCCUUCUCCCCAUUGAUUUUUAAAAGCCGACCAAAGGUUGCUGCAUUUUCUUUUGAAACAAUAAAAGAAAAAAGAAAAAGAGGCAGCUGAAGAGG